AUAACCUAGAGCAAGCACUGAAGAUGCUCUGGGUGCAACACCACCCCCCAAGAUUCCUUUGGCUGGAGUCAGCCUUCCAUCUGGAAGGGCGCGCCUGGUGCCGUGGCAUUAGGGCUGUGAGCCCUGCAGGGCCUCUCCACAUCCUAACCAACUGGAGUCUGUUUCCAUUAAAAUGAAGUAAUAAAAAUAACACGAAAGCCUUUCUAUUUAUAGAUGGUUUCAUAGACACUUUUAAAAAUACAACCUGAAUUUGGCUCCAGUAACUUGGCGUUGGUUAUUUUAGGUUCUACGUGGAUUUUAUUUUUAGUGGUGCAGAAUGAUUUCUAAAGCAUUCAGCUGGAAUAACAGAAGAAGGCAACAGAUGGUUUUGGGAAACAUCAGGCUCCUUACUUUGCAGAGAAUGGCUGCAAGGAAAUGGAAGUUUCUCUUCAGCUGUGAUACUCAUUCUCUUAGAGGAUCCUUGGCAUUUAUGGCAGAACUUGUUUACUCUUCAGGUAAGCAGCUCUCCAAGUUUCAGCUCAUUUCAUUGCUCUUCAUUUUCAUCUCCGUUUUAUUUCAUUGCGCUGCUUUCUCGGGAUGAGUCCUUGGCAGGGGGGAAGUCUCCUCUCUGUAGUGGAAAGGGUCAGUGCGGUUCCUGGAUUGGCCCACCCAAGUGUGGGACAGAUGCUCCCACUUGGACUGUAUGUCAUCUUGAGUAGGUCAGUCAGCCUCCUGUGCCUCAGCUGAGGAUGAAUGUUAGCACCUUUCUCUUAGGUUCAUCGUGUUGACUAGCUGGGGGCUGGCGUUCUAAAGCCCUUCAAACAGUCCCAGACACACAGUCAGUUCUGCUUCUCUAGCAGCCUCCAUCAUCAUGGUUACCACCACCACACGCCAUCCGACCCUCGUUAUGCCAGCCUCCCUGGCCUGGGACCCGAGGUCAUGGUAGAACAUCUGAUGAGUAAUGCUUAAGUUCUUGGCAUCUUUAACCAAGACAGAGGUCAGUAAUGAAAAGUAAAAGUAUUCGAUAAAACAGAUGAAUCCACCCAUCAUUUUCGAGUGUUGAAAUGUGUUUAUCAGAACAACUUUAACAGUAAAUCAGGUCAAGAGCGUGAUUCAGCACAACGGUCAGCAAACUAUGGCCCGUGGGUCAAAUCCAGCUGUCGCCUGUUUUUAUAGAACCCAUGAAC
RNAcentral lists this long non-coding RNA (1166 nucleotides) under Callithrix jacchus (white-tufted-ear marmoset). RNAcentral describes it as "lncRNA (ENSCJAG00000059423.2)". The record is from RNAcentral. Lineage: Eukaryota; Metazoa; Chordata; Mammalia; Primates; Cebidae.